UCCCACAGAACUGUUCAUGGUGCUCCUAUUUGCGUGCCUUGCCGCAGCUUCUAGAGUAAGAAAAGGACCCCGCCCGGAUUUUUUCCCGCCUCCUGCAAGCGAUGAUCUAUUGCCAUAGCUAUGAAGAUGAUAUUCCUUGACUGCCAACUACUUAUAUAGGAAGAAAGAUAUUCAUGUAGAAUUUCUACAGAACAGCUGCUAAUGUUACUGAAUUAAAUGAUCUCCCCAACUCCUGU
This is a long non-coding RNA of Penaeus monodon (black tiger shrimp), 236 nucleotides long. RefSeq lists it as uncharacterized. The record is from RefSeq and is a predicted model, not a curated record. The transcript is spliced from 3 exons. NCBI's taxonomy places the organism in Eukaryota, Metazoa, Arthropoda, Malacostraca, Decapoda, Penaeidae.